This 465-nucleotide ribosomal RNA is filed under the name uncultured bacterium. Its description in RNAcentral is "partial 16S ribosomal RNA". It matches the Rfam family "Bacterial small subunit ribosomal RNA", at positions 28 to 507 of the family's 1533-position model. The record is from RNAcentral.
GACGAACGCUGGCGGCGUGCUUAACACAUGCAAGUCGAACGGAAAGGCCCUGCUUGCAGGGUGUGCUAGUGUCGAACGGGGGAGUAACACAUGUGUGUUCUGCCCUGCACUUCGGGAUAAGCCUGGGAGACUGUGUCUAAUACCGGGGAGGAGCCAUCCUGAGUGUGGGGGGGGGAUGGUUUUUUGGGUGUGGGAUGAGCUGGCGGCCUAUCAGCUUGUUGGUGGGUGAAUUGCCUACCAAGGCGGGGACGGGUCGGCGGCCGGGGAGGGUGGACGGCCACAUUGGGACUGGGAUACGGCCCAGAAUCCCACGGGAGGCAGCAGUGGGGAAUAUUGCACAAUGGGCGCAAGCCUGAUGCAGCGACGCCGCGUGGGGGAUGACCGCCUUCGGGUUGUAAACUCCUUUCGCUAGGGAAGAAGCUUUUUGUGACGGUACCUAGAUAAGAAGCACCGGCUAACUACGUG